Non-coding RNA from Octopus bimaculoides (California two-spot octopus), 104 nucleotides. Lineage: Eukaryota; Metazoa; Mollusca; Cephalopoda; Octopoda; Octopodidae. The record is from Rfam.
CUAGUUUUGGCAGUAGAUAUUCUAAAAUUGGAAUGAUACAGAGAAGAUUAGCAUGGCCCCUGUGCAAGGACGACAUGCAAAUUUGUGAAGCAUUCCAUAUUUUU